RNAcentral lists this long non-coding RNA (398 nucleotides) under Solanum lycopersicum (tomato). Its description in RNAcentral is "long non-coding RNA (SLYC_LNC001259)". The record is from RNAcentral. Lineage: Eukaryota; Viridiplantae; Streptophyta; Magnoliopsida; Solanales; Solanaceae.
UCUUUCCCAUUGGCAUUGGUGGAGGUGCAGCUACCUUUCCCAUUGGCGUCGGCGGAGGGGGUGGUGGAGUUGCUCUAUUUGAUUCCUUUGGUGGAAGUGGAUGUGGGGUUACCAUACCCUUUAGUCCUUUGUGAGGUGAACAUGGAGGUGGAGGCGGAGGCGGAGGUGAAUGUACAUUUUCUGAUUUCCUGGGAGGUGGCGGCGGAGGACAAGGCACUGCUCUAUUUUUUGAUGUAAUUGGAGGUGGUGGAGGUGGAGGUGGAGAUGUUACUGUGUUUCCUGAUGUAAUACAGGCUGGUGGUGAUGCUGGUUCUGGCUCGUUGUUCUCACACGAGGAAUCUGGUUGAGGUGAUGUUGGUACUUGCGAUUCUAUGAUUUUCGGUGAUAAAAUGUUUGGA